RNAcentral lists this ribosomal RNA (497 nucleotides) under uncultured bacterium. RNAcentral's name for it is "partial 16S ribosomal RNA". It matches the Rfam family "Bacterial small subunit ribosomal RNA", at positions 28 to 507 of the family's 1533-position model. The record is from RNAcentral.
GAUGAACGCUGGCGGCGUGCCUAAUACAUGCAAGUCGAGCGAACGGACGAGAAGCUUGCUUUUCUGAUGUUAGCGGCGGACGGGUGAGUAACACGUGGAUACCCUACCUAUAAGACUGGGAUAAUUUCGGGAAACCGGCGCUAAUACCGGAUAAUAUUUUGCACCGUAUGGUUCAAAAGUGAAAGACGGUCUUGCUGUCUCUUAUAGAUGCAUCUGGGCUGAAUUAGCUAGUUGGUACGGUAACGGCUUGCCACGGCAACGAUGCAUAGCCGACUGGAGAGGGUGGUCGGCCACACUGGAGCUGGGACGCGGUCCAGACUCCUACGGGAGGCAGCAGUAGCGUAUCUUCCGCAGUGGGCGAAAGCCUGACGGAGCGACGCCGCGUGAGUGAUAGAAGUCUUCGGAUCGUAAAACUCUGUUAUUAGGGAAGAACAUAUGUGUAAGUAACUGUGCACAUCUUGACGGUACCUAGUCAGAAAGCCACGGCUAACUACGUG